CAGUCGCCGCGGUAAUACGUAGGGUGCAAGCGUUAAUCGGAAUUACUGGGCGUAAUGCGUGCGCAGGCGGUUAUAUAAGUCAGAUGUGAAAUCCCCGGGCUCAACCUGGGAACUGCAUUUGAGACUGUAUGGCUAGAGUGUGUCAGAGGGGGGUAGAAUUCCACGUGUAGCAGUGAAAUGCGUAGAUAUGUGGAGGAAUACCGAUGGCGAAGGCAGCCCCCUGGGAUAACACUGACGCUCAUGCACGAAAGCGUGGGGAGCAAACAGGAUUAGAUACCCCAGUAGUCCCUGUCUCUUAUAC
Molecule: ribosomal RNA, 301 nt
Filed under: uncultured bacterium
Lineage: Bacteria
Description: partial 16S ribosomal RNA
Rfam family: Bacterial small subunit ribosomal RNA
Source: RNAcentral